GUUUUAAUAAUUUAAAGAAAAUACUGAUCUUGUAAAUCAGAAAUAAGAACCUCUUUUAAAACU
This 63-nucleotide transfer RNA is filed under the name Trigonopterus kotamobagensis. RNAcentral's name for it is "tRNA-Thr". Lineage: Eukaryota; Metazoa; Arthropoda; Insecta; Coleoptera; Curculionidae. The record is from RNAcentral.